This is a long non-coding RNA of Ostrinia nubilalis (European corn borer), 1424 nucleotides long. RefSeq lists it as uncharacterized. The transcript is spliced from 4 exons. The record is from RefSeq and is a predicted model, not a curated record. NCBI's taxonomy places the organism in Eukaryota, Metazoa, Arthropoda, Insecta, Lepidoptera, Crambidae.
AUCUAUAUUAAUAAUUUCGUCAAGGGGUACGGUAGACUGGAUCGAAACCUUAUAUGAAUAACAAAGCAUAAAAAAAUAACGAUUUUGAGUCGACAACAUAUAUCCGCAAAAUUCGGAUAAUGGAGAAUUUCGUUAAAUUCCGAUGGCAUUGACAAACAAACCGCUGUCGCCAUCUUUAGUAGUUCACCAUCCACUCACUAUGCGAUCAACGCCUAAAGCUGGGUUGUCAUCGAUCCAUAAAUAAAUGGAAAUCAGUGCGUUUCGCGAUUUUCAUGAUAAUAUACUCUUUGUUAUGUGUUUUUUCUUUAAACCUGGUAUUGGCCGAUUCAACCACAAAAAAGAAUAUUAGCCAUAACCUUAUAAGUUGAAGUUCAAAUGUCAAUGUCAUUUAGUUUCGCACAGUGAUAAAUUCCAGUGACAUGCAAUUUUUGUAAUGGUAAAUUAUUUGUAAGAAACUGCAAACAAAUGCAAAUGUGCAGUCGAUGUGUGGAAUGCGACAACAUUAUACUCGAUAAUUUCAAUUAUUGCGAGUGUUGUGGCUUAGAAACAAUUAAGCAGUUAAGAAUAAACAAGGCUCGGGCACUAUCAAACCUUUUUCCUAAAAAGCAAAAAGCUGCUUCUGCUGCUUCACAAGAUUUAUUUGAUGACUUUCAGGUUGAUAACGAAGAGUUGACGCUAAUCGAGGAUUCAUUGAUGAUUGAUGAUGCUUCUUCGGACAACAAGAAAAAACAGCUACUGUCAGUCAGCAGUGAUGAUGCUUCUUCGGACAACAAGGAAAAACAGCUGCUGUCAGUCAGCAGUGAUUUUAUUUCUUUAGAAGAAGAAGAGAAAGAAAACAUAUCAAAUGGCGGGCAGACCCCCGAAAAAACAUUUAUCCAUGGACAGUGGCAACCACGAAUAUCUCAGUCAGCGGCUGAUAAAGUAAUUGCAAGAAUGUAUAAUUAUUCCUUUUCUGAUCGGGAACGAUAUUAUCUCCGGCUAUUACUUCUUCACGUCAACGGGCCGACUUGCUUCAGAGAUGUUAGAACUUAUUAAUAUGAAAAUAUUAUUUACACAUCAUUUCGAGAAGCUGCUCAAGCAAGGGGGCUACUUUUUGACGAUCAAGAAUGGGAAAGAUGUUUGGAUGAAGCAAUUGGUUUCAAACUUCCUCGGCAAUUACGACAGCUGUUUGCGUUAAUUUGCGUGUUUUGUGAAGUAACUGAUCCUAAUGCUCUUUGGGAAAAAUUUCUAAAAAGAAGAGACUAACAGAUUUCGGACUUCCGGAGCCAGAUAUUGAUGAAAAUAGUAUUUUCUUAUCUGAUCCCGUUUCUGACUAUUAAUAAGAGUUAUUUACAUAACCUAUAUUAACGAUUGAAUUUGAUUGUUUUGUUAAUUUGUCUUAGUUUAUUUUGAAUGUUGAUUUAAAAUAAAAAUAAUUUGUGUAA